RNAcentral lists this ribosomal RNA (860 nucleotides) under Kocuria sp. JSM 077032. Its description in RNAcentral is "bacterial SSU rRNA". It matches the Rfam family "Bacterial small subunit ribosomal RNA", at positions 57 to 924 of the family's 1533-position model. The record is from RNAcentral. Lineage: Bacteria; Bacillati; Actinomycetota; Actinomycetes; Micrococcales; Micrococcaceae.
GCAAGUCGAACGCUGAAGCACCAGCUUGCUGGUGUGGAUGAGUGGCGAACGGGUGAGUAAUACGUGAGUAACCUGCCCUUGACUCUGGGAUAAGCCCGGGAAACUGGGUCUAAUACUGGAUGCUACAUGUCACCGCAUGGUGGUGUGUGGAAAGGGUUUACUGGUCUUGGAUGGGCUCACGGCCUAUCAGCUUGUUGGUGAGGUAAUGGCUCACCAAGGCGACGACGGGUAGCCGGCCUGAGAGGGUGACCGGCCACACUGGGACUGAGACACGGCCCAGACUCCUACGGGAGGCAGCAGUGGGGAAUAUUGCACAAUGGGCGAAAGCCUGAUGCAGCGACGCCGCGUGAGGGAUGACGGCCUUCGGGUUGUAAACCUCUUUCAGCAGGGAAGAAGCCACAAGUGACGGUACCUGCAGAAGAAGCGCCGGCUAACUACGUGCCAGCAGCCGCGGUAAUACGUAGGGCGCAAGCGUUGUCCGGAAUUAUUGGGCGUAAAGAGCUCGUAGGCGGUUUGUCGCGUCUGCUGUGAAAGCCCGGGGCUUAACCCCGGGUGUGCAGUGGGUACGGGCAGACUAGAGUGCAGUAGGGGAGACUGGAAUUCCUGGUGUAGCGGUGGAAUGCGCAGAUAUCAGGAGGAACACCGAUGGCGAAGGCAGGUCUCUGGGCUGUUACUGACGCUGAGGAGCGAAAGCAUGGGGAGCGAACAGGAUUAGAUACCCUGGUAGUCCAUGCCGUAAACGUUGGGCACUAGGUGUGGGGGACAUUCCACGUUUUCCGCGCCGUAGCUAACGCAUUAAGUGCCCCGCCUGGGGAGUACGGCCGCAAGGCUAAAACUCAAAGGAAUUGACGGGGGCCCGC